UGGGCGUAAGCGCGCGCAGGCGGUUUCUUAAGUCUGAUGUGAAAGCCCACGGCUCAACCGUGGAGGGUCAUUGGAAACUGGGGAACUUGAGUGCAGAAGAGAAAAGCGGAAUUCCACGUGUAGCGGUGAAAUGCGUAGAGAUGUGGAGGAACACCAGUGGCGAAGGCGGCUUUUUGGUCUGUAACUGACGCUGAGGCGCGAAAGCGUGGGGAGCAAACAGGAUUAGAUACCCUGGUAGUCCACGCCGUAAACGAUGAGUGCUAAGUGUUAGAGGGUUUCCGCCCUUUAGUGCUGCAGCUAACGCAUUAAGCACUCCGCCUGGGGAGUACGGUCGCAAGACUGAAACUCAAAGGAAUUGACGGGGGCCCGCACAAGCGGUGGAGCAUGUGG
RNAcentral lists this ribosomal RNA (390 nucleotides) under Priestia flexa. Its description in RNAcentral is "bacterial SSU rRNA". It matches the Rfam family "Bacterial small subunit ribosomal RNA", at positions 555 to 944 of the family's 1533-position model. Lineage: Bacteria; Bacillati; Bacillota; Bacilli; Caryophanales; Bacillaceae. The record is from RNAcentral.